GAUGAACGCUGGCGGCGUGCCUAAUACAUGCAAGUCGAGCGAACGGACGAGAAGCUUGCUUCUCUGAUGUUAGCGGCGGACGGGUGAGUAACACGUGGAUAACCUACCUAUAAGACUGGGAUAACUUCGGGAAACCGGAGCUAAUACCGGAUGAUAUUUUGAACCGCAUGGUUCAAAAGUGAAAGACGGUCUUGCUGUCACUUAUAGAUGGAUCCGCGCUGCAUUAGCUAGUUGGUAAGGUAACGGCUUACCAAGGCAACGAUGCAUAGCCGACCUGGGAGGGGGGUCGGCCACACGAGAACGUGAACCACGGCCCGGCGCCUGAGGGAAGGAACAGUAGGGAAUUCUACGGAAUAGGGGGAAAGCUGGCGGAAGAACCGCGGGUGAGAUGAGGAAGUUCUCCGGUCGUUAAAACCUGUUAUUAGGGAAGAACAUAUGUGUAAGUAACUGUGCACAUCUUGACGGUACCUAAUCAGAAAGCCACGGCUAACUACGUG
Molecule: ribosomal RNA, 497 nt
Filed under: uncultured bacterium
Lineage: Bacteria
Description: partial 16S ribosomal RNA
Rfam family: Bacterial small subunit ribosomal RNA
Source: RNAcentral